This 506-nucleotide long non-coding RNA is filed under the name Serinus canaria (Common canary). Its description in RNAcentral is "lncRNA (ENSSCAG00000000995.1)". The record is from RNAcentral. Lineage: Eukaryota; Metazoa; Chordata; Aves; Passeriformes; Fringillidae.
UCAGGUUUCAGGAGGUGGCAGCUCCUGGACUAUUUCUGCAGUUUCCUGAACAUUUUCCAUGAAGUGCUGACUUGCAGUCUGCAGUCUGUAUCACUUAGAGCAAUAUUCAGCAUCACAAAGGAUCAGAUCCCAUAGCAGAAUCCAGCCAAUCUGGACUUACAACUUGUCAGCAGUAAUCCACUGAAAGCAAGGUUUAAAUCAAAGAUGUGUGAGAAGCCAUAUCUUUCCUUUUCCACUAGAGGCCACAGAAUAUAGAAACAUCUGAAUCUUUCCCUCUCAAGUCGGGAAAGAUUCAGAUCAGAUGGAGGGAGGCCAGGAAGAAGCAAUGAGAAUUGCAAGGAACUCAGAGUCCAUGGGAUGUCAGGAAAAAGCAACUGUUAAAGAAAACUGAGCAGGAGAAAAAUGCAGUCCUUCCACGUGAGACAGCCACAGGAGCUGGUGAAGCCCAUAAAAGAAAGCAAGUCAGUCCUGUCCUUGUCAUCUGCCAGCUCCCAGUGAAACUGGAU